AACGUGCGUUGCGCACCUCCCGGUGCGCAGGCAACGGAUACUUCCGCUCCUAACGGGGAGACGCGGGUUCGAAUCCCGCCGCCG
RNAcentral lists this transfer RNA (84 nucleotides) under Actinoplanes digitatis. RNAcentral describes it as "Amorphoplanes digitatis tRNA-Arg". The record is from RNAcentral. Lineage: Bacteria; Bacillati; Actinomycetota; Actinomycetes; Micromonosporales; Micromonosporaceae.